CAUGCAGCAAUAUAAUGAUGUGAUAUGCUUGAUUUACCUGCUUGAUUAUAGGGACUCGAAAAAGAAUUUAUUUGCAGUAGCUAACCGAAUAUAAAAAUGUUCACAUUAACGAUUGCGCCCUAACACCGGUUCUAAGCUUCGAUGCAGAGUACACGAGCUUUGUUCGCCAGUGACAGGCGUAUGAGGCCCUUGGACGGUCCCAUCUGAAAUUUGCCAAAACAAAAUCAAAAUUUCAGAUGGGACCUUUGGUCGCACAUUAACAAUUUUUUGUUUUCUCUAUUAAAAGUAUGUUUUGUAACUAAAAUUAAAUGAAGAUAACACUCAAGAGUCGCCAAGAGCAAGCUAGUCCGCUAAUCAAUCAAGUUAGCUGGCGGAACUUUGAUUAUAAUAUAUUAUCUUGGCGGAGCUCUUUAUCAUCGGAUUCCUGACCAAGCACGACAUCGAUCCCAACACAAACAAGAGGGGUUACUUUCGUUUGUGAACUGCCAGUUAAUGAAGGAAAUGACUUCAGUGGAAUCUUUGAUUGCGAAUCGCAUAUCCUACUGCUGCCAACCUCCCAUACGGCAGAUCCCAGGCAACCCAAAUCCCCACGCUAGCCGACGCUGUGCUCUUUCGUUAUUAAGAUCACAUCCCAUGGAUUAUUUGCUUAGGCUGGGCCAGUCGACUGUGCAAGCGCAUCGAAAAGGAAUUAGUGAUCAACAAUCAACUAACAACGUUUGCCGCGACAAGUACCGUGAGAUUUUUUUUUAAACGGAACUCGCUCUCUUAACGAUGGUCUGGAGGGGAGGAAAAAUGUGGCCUACCAGAAGAUCCUGAACAAUUUUAGGUUUUUCAGCGAGCUUUGCCACUGACGAAAUGGAAGAGGGUUUACCAUUGGCCGUCGUGCUGGCAUAUUGCAGAACUGUGAUGACUUGGGAGCUCGUCUGGAUUUCAAGACUCAGAUCACUAUACAGAGAUCUCGGACAUUAGUCCCGUGUUAUGUGAUAGAAGAAAA
This is a long non-coding RNA of Armigeres subalbatus, 994 nucleotides long. RefSeq lists it as uncharacterized. The transcript is spliced from 4 exons. The record is from RefSeq and is a predicted model, not a curated record. NCBI's taxonomy places the organism in Eukaryota, Metazoa, Arthropoda, Insecta, Diptera, Culicidae.